RNAcentral lists this long non-coding RNA (2137 nucleotides) under Oryza sativa (Asian cultivated rice). RNAcentral describes it as "long non-coding RNA (OSAT_LNC001119)". The record is from RNAcentral. Lineage: Eukaryota; Viridiplantae; Streptophyta; Magnoliopsida; Poales; Poaceae.
CCGCUUCUCCUCCAGCCGCCGGCGGGGCCUCCCUUCCUACCCAAGCCUCCGCCGCCGUUCCCAUCUCCUCGUCCUCCGUGCCACCGCCGGCGCCUCUUCCGCUGAAUCCAUCUCCACCUCCUCACCUAUUCGCUAACGCCGCCUCCCAUCCUCUCUUCUCUCCGGGCUCCGGCUAGAUCCAAGUCGGCGUCGAGAUCCAGGGCUCGAAAACCCCUCACCUAUCCAAGGAUUUCAGGUAGUGAUCUCUGCGAAUUCCUUGAAACUGCAUGCUUUUUUAAAAAAAACUCCUGUGGACACUUUAACAAUCCAAAAUGAUAAAGUAGUUAAUUGGCUUAUUUCCUCACUUUUCUAUCUACCAAUUGGUUCGUUAAUUCAUAUAGAUAUAUCUUAAUUGCUUAGUAAAGAUUAUCUCUUGGAUUGUUGUGUACUCGUCGAUUUUUGAUAUUAUCGAGCCGUCCCGAAAUAAUGGCUAUAGUUUCCAUCUUCCAUUGGGUAGUGUUCAUUGUUGUCUCCGUUUCAGCGUUAUAAAUCAAACAUUGUGCAAAUUGUAGAUAGAAAAAAUUGUGAAGAUUGAGGAAAACUAUCCUACGGCUCAAUGAGCAGAGCCGGUAUGUCAGACAACCAGUGAAGUCCAUGUCUUAUGCCCAAUGCUUGCACUCAAACCUCAUUCCUUUCCUAGGUUAAAGUAUGCUGUUUUAUUUUGGCCUUGGUGCACAUUUAAGCACCAGAUCUUUUACUCCCAUUUUCAUGUCCGCAAAUUCAUGAACCAGCAGAUUAAUCAUACAUGUACACCAAUUAAAUAUUGUAACAGAAGAGAUAUAUAUUCAUAUUCAACAUAUAUGCAUAGAGGUGAAGAGUAAUCGGUUACUGGGCAUGUUGCUGGUGCUAUUCUUGUUAUUCUUAACGCCCGAUGUAGAUAAGGAUGCCGAGAAUAAUUCAUUCUUCUGUGUACAGCGACGAGGGCUAUGGUUCACUGCUGGGCAUUGCUGCCUGUCUUUGCUGUCGAUUUGACAUAGUCCUUCCUAAUCUUCUUCAGCAUCACGACCACAUCCUUCAUUUCCAUCCUUUGCUCUGGGGAGUCAGCCGAGCAGAGCAAGCCCAGCUCGAAGACUGGCUUAAGGAAUCCAUCAAUGCUACUGGUAGAACAAGAGGUGUCCUGUAGAAGCUGGCCAUCGACAACAUGGACAAGAUCUAUAGGAAAUGCCCAGUGAACCCACUGCCUGAUGCUCAGAUCUCCCACAAACAUGGCAUCUGUGGGUCUCUUCCUAGUGAACACUUCAAGUAGCAUGAUCCCAUAGCUGAACACAUCGCUCUUCCGUGACGCUUUUCCAAGAACCCCAUACUCUGCACAAGAAAAUUAGAUUAAUGACAACUGAUUGCACCACUUAAUUGUUGUGAAAAGAUCAACUGGGUUGAGUAAGAGUACAAAAGCUACUAAGUACCUGGUGCCAUGUAACCAAUUGUUCCUGGCAUGCUUGCAGAGAUCGUAGAGUUAUCAUCGCCUAGUAACAACCUCGCAAUGCCAAAGUCUGCCACAUGUGCCGUCAUUUCAUCAUCGAAUAGCACAUUACUAGGCUUCAAAUCACAGUGUACGACCACCUCAUAGUGCUCAUGGUGCAGGUAUUCCAUUGCCAUUGACACAUCUAGCAUAAUAUCCAACCUCUCGAGAAAGCCUAACUGCAUCCUUUCUUCCGAGUGUAGGAGUGCUUCUAAGCUACCCUGAGGCAUGUACUGAAGAACCAAUGCUCUGAACUCCAGGUUGGAGCAUGUGUUCAAUAUCUUUAUCAAGUUGCGAUGUCGAGCCAUUCGAAGCACACGACACUCAGUAUCAAAGCUUCUCAUGGCAUGUUCCAGAUGGUUGUGUAUAACUUUUAUGGCAACCACCAAACCGCUACUCAACUGGCCCUUAAAAACUUUUCCGAAGCUUCCAGAUCCCAACAUAUUGUCUUCACUGAAAUUAUCGGUAGCGCGAACAAGCUCAUGGUAGGAGAGUAAUUGGUGGCUGAUCAUGUCAAGCAUACCAGAAGAAAUAUUUUGAUGCUUAACUUUCUUUCUAAUUAUUCCAUAUAGGCAACAAGUUACCGCUGCAACUACUAUGAUUAUACCCGGGAGUAAAAUAUACUUUAGUAUGUGUCGA